This 5349-nucleotide long non-coding RNA is filed under the name Brassica napus (rape). RNAcentral's name for it is "long non-coding RNA (BNAP_LNC004648)". The record is from RNAcentral. Lineage: Eukaryota; Viridiplantae; Streptophyta; Magnoliopsida; Brassicales; Brassicaceae.
AAACCCUAGAAAGAGUUUAGCGCUGUUUCUGUUUUAGAGAAAAAAGAAUGGGGAGGAAGAGAAAGCACAGCGAGGCGGAAGCGGCGGCUCCGGUUAAGGACGAUUCUGCUCCGGAGAGACCUAAAAGAACUCUGUUAGGUUGGAAAGAUAAGAAAGAAGAUGUGGAGGAAGCUAAGGAAGCGUCUGCUCCGUCUGCGCCUGGUUUCAGGAAUAAAGAGAAGGUUCUCGUUACUUGUUCCCGUCGGAUUAGUUUCAGGUGAAGCGAGUUGAGAUUUGAGUUUGAGUUUAAUUUCCUUUGAUGGUGUAGAAUAAUAAUAAAGUAUCUGUUUUUUGUUUGUUUGUGAAGGUAUCGGCAUCUGAUGUUGAACAUAGUUUCACUUCUGCCUCAUUGUAAGAAGGAUAGUAAGGUUGAAGCUAAGAGCAGUAAAGGCGCGACUCUUAAUGAGCUUGUUGAGCUUAAGGGCUCUUCUUCCUGCUUGUUCUUCGAGGUAAAGUUUCCAUCUUUUGUUGGUACCUACUUGGUCUGAUAUUAAGAGGCUUUUAUAAUCAAGUUUGAUACAUAGAAGAUGGAACAAAUAUUGUACUGAUGAUAUUCCUUUGUCACGCUACUCUUAAUGUCUGGUUUUGCUUGUAAUUGUAUGAAGUAGUAAGCUGUCAAAAUCUUGAUUUUUCCAAGAAACUGAAGUUGUUAUGCGUUUAUUUUGUUAUGGACUUCAGUGUAGGAAGCAUAAAGAUCUUUACAUGUGGAUGGUCAAGUCCCCUAGUGGACCUUCUGUUAAGUUCUUGGUUAAUGCUGGUAACUUCUCCAACCCACCUUGUACAUUGUUUCAGAAUUAGCUGGUGGAGCUUAUAUGUCUUUGUUCGUCUCUCAUGUUUCAAUAAUUUUCUAUAUGGUGAAGUUCACACAAUGGAGGAGCUGAAACUCACAGGAAACCAUCUGAAAGGGUCACGCCCUCUCUUGACGUUCUCGUCCAAUUUUGAUAAAGAUGUACACUGGAAACUCUUGAAAGAGAUGUUAACACAGGUCAUUCUCCCAUUUUCACUCCCUUAUGUUCCUUGUUAGCUUAGUUUGUACCUCAUGCUAAAUAGUUUUCUCUUCCUAUCUCUUGCAGGUAUUUGGAAUCCCCAAGGAACACAGAAAGUCUAAACCUUACCAUGACCAUGUUUUUGCCUUCUCCAUUGUCGAUGACCAUAUCUGGUUCCGUAAUUACCAGGUUGGUUGCAUCUCAGAGAUCAACAGUUGCUGUUACACUUUGAUUCAGUGUGGUUUUUAACUUAGUCAAUGUCUGUUUUUAUCUUCUGUUUCAGAUAUCUGUACCUCAUAAUGAGGCAGACAAGGUUGCGCGAGGUGGUCUUGAUAAAAUGACUCUUGUCGAGGUCUGGCUUUACCUAUUAGUAACAAUAAUUUGCGUAGUUGUGAUUCGUUAGUGUUGAUUGAAAUGAAAAUCUGAUGACAGGUUGGUCCAAGGUUUUGUUUAAACCCGAUUAAGAUCUUUGGAGGAAGCUUUGGAGGUCCAACCCUUUACGAGAACCCAUUCUACGUAUCUCCAAACCAGGUACUGUGUUCUCUCUUCAGCUUGGUCAUAACGAGAAGUUGAUUCACAUAUGAUUUUCUAUGUCAAAGGCUUAUUUUUUUCAAUUUUUUUCAUCAGAUCCGAGCCUUGGAGAAAAGGAAUAAAGCAGGCAAGUUUGCAAAGAAGAUCAAAGCAAAAAGGAGGAAAAAGAUGCAUGAGAUUUCAAACCCACUGGAGCCUGAUGAGUUUGCAGACAUGUGGAAGGAUGAUGAAUGAUCAAGUUCCAUCAAGUUUUUCUUGUUGUAAACUUCUAAAUUCACACAACCAUUACAUUUUUUUUUGUCCUUUUUACUGUUCUCGACUCUGUUUUUAUCUCUCCCUCUUAUGGAUCAAAAGUUGAUAUUUUUCUUGCAAAUUAGUGUGUUUAAACAAGUAAAGAGUCCAACUAAAUCUCUUUGCAAAAAUUGUAGCAAAAGUAUAAGCAAUCAGCACCCAAAAUUCACAGAAACAAUACAUCUUCAUGUCUUCAGUCUUCACUGUUCCUUUGGUUCUUUCUCUCUUAUGUUAUCAUCAAAAGUUGAAUUUUUGCAAGAUGCCAAAGCAAUUUAGUUUCUUUAUUCAUAAUGCAUCAAGAGUCAAAUUCACAGAAUCAUCAAACACAUUCUUAUGGCUCAAAAGCUUAAAUCUUUUUGUUUGUUUCUUUUAUCUAUUUUUCUUGCAAACUGACAAGUUCAUCUGCACCUCUUUGCAAUGUAAGAUGCAAUUUAGUUUCUUUAUUGAUAUAGCAUCAAAGAUCUCUAAUUACAUAAAACAAAGUAAAAAGAAAAUGCAACAAGACAGGUGAUCCCUUGCGGUUAGAAGGAAGUUCUGAUUGUGUGUUAGUGGAUGAGGAAGUGGAAGUGUGUACUAUUAAGAAUCUAGACAACGGGAAACAGUUUGUGGUGAACGAGAUUCAAGAAGAGGGUAGUACAUGGAAACAGGUGAAGGAAGUGGGGACCGACACGCAGAUGACAAUGGAGGAGUUUGAGAUGUCUGUGGGACACUCUCCCAUUGUUCAGGAGCUUAUGAGAAGACAGAACGUGGAGGAUUCUGAUAACAACAACAACGCAUCAACCAAAACAACAAAGGAUGAUGAAGAGAGUAAAGAUAAUAAUAAUAAUAACACAUCAAAGUCUAAGAAGAAAGGAAGCUGGUUCAAGAGCAUAAAGAGCGUUGUGACUGGUUACAGCAAAGAGAGACGAAGCAGUGACGAUAAAGACACGUCAUCGGAGAGAGGCGGUCGGAGGUCGAGCUCAGCUACGGAUGACUCUCAGGAAUCUUCUUUCCACGGGCCGGAGAGAGUUAGGGUCAGACAGUACGGGAAGUCUUCCAAAGAGCUCACGGCGAUGUACAAGACGCAGGAGAUUCAAGCGCAUAACGGCUCUAUCUGGAGCAUUAAGUUUAGUUUGGAUGGUAAGUAUCUCGCUAGCGCCGGCGAGGACUGCGUCAUUCAUGUUUGGCAAGUGGUUGAGGCUGAGAAGAGAGGAGAGUUGUUGCUGGAUAGACCGGAGCUGUUGCUUUUGGCUAAUAGUAAUGGAUCUCCGGAACCGACUACUAUGUCGCCGAGGAGAAGAGGGAGGAGUUCUGUGAGUAGAAAGUCGUUGAGUUUGGAGAACAUAUAUGUUCCAGAUUCUGUUUUUGGGCUCUCGGACAAACCCUUUUGCUCCUUUCAUGGUCAUCUGGAUGAUGUUCUUGAUCUUGCUUGGUCCAAGUCUCAGGAUUUGCUGUCUGCAUCGAUGGAUAAGACAGUUCGUUUGUGGAGCUUGUCUACACACACUUGCUUGAAAGUAUUCUCUCACAGUGAUUAUGGUUAGUAGCUAAUAUUAAUUUAAUCUGUUUCUUUCUGUGCUUAUCUAAAUAAUAAUUUGCUCUAUUGAUUGGGACAGUGACUUGCAUUCAAUUUAAUCCGGUUGAUGAUAGAUACUUCAUCAGCGGUUCGUUAGAUGCAAAAGUUCGCGUGUGGAGCAUUCCGGAUCGGCAAGUAGUUGACUGGUAUGAUCUUCACGAGAUGGUCACUUCUGCUUGCUACACUCCAGACGGUCAGGUAAACUAAAUCUGCCAUGUCAUUAUUAUCUGAAGUCAGUAUCUUUUUGGCUUUAAACAGUUUUCUAAUUUUCUAAAGAAUGUGUUGAAACUUGAAGGGUGCGUUGGUUGGUUCAUACAAAGGUAGCUGUCGUCUUUACAGUGCAUCAGGUAAAUGAAUGAAGUUUGUUAAUGUGAUUUUGAUUUUUUACCGUUUCCUAAUGCGUUAACAUUAAGUGACGUGUUGUUUUAUUUUUCCCCAGAUAACAAGCUGCAACAGAAAAGCCAGAUAAAUUUACAGAACAAGAAGAAGAAAGCUCAUCAGAAAAAGAUAACUGGUUUCCAGGUAAUGAGAGAAUCUCACUUCUUCAGGAGCAAAAUCUGAGGGGCUUUGUUCAUGAGACGGCACUAAAAGUUGCUUGCUUGUGUCUCAUUUCAUCCCAUAGUUUGUGCCUGGAAGCUCAUCUGAAGUGCUAGUCACAUCUUCGGACUCUCGGAUCCGCGUUGUUGAUGGAACUGAUCUAGUUACCAAACUCAAAGGUAAAACAAAAACAAACAAAGUUUCAAGCUUUGUCUUCUGUUUACUUCAUUCGCAAGCAAAAGUAAUCAAUCGUUUUUUUCACUAUUUGACAGGGUUUCGAAACACGAGCAGCCAAAUCUCCGCCUCAAUAACAGCAGACGGCAAAUACGUAGUGUCAGCGAGCGAGGAUUCAAACGUGUACAUAUGGAAGUACGAAUCCCCUGCUUCUCGACCAAGCAAGAGCAACAGCAGCAGCAACAAGAACGUCACAGUCACAAACUCGUACGAGCAUUUCCACAGCCAAGACGUCUCCGCAGCCAUCUCAUGGCCCGGGAUGGCCUCAACAGAGUCUUGGGGAGCCACCCAAAACAGAGCCAACAACUUAGACGAAGUCUCCACAGCUAACCAUCCACCCACACCUGUGGACCAGCCAGGGACAACAACUCUGGACCGACUCAACAGUCCACGUAACGGGAUCAUUUCGAGCGCCACAAACGGAUACUUCUUCGAUAGAAUGUCAGCGACUUGGCCUGAGGAGAAGCUGAUGUUUGGGAGGAACAGAAGUGGGAACCGUCUGAGUACGGAUUUGUCUAACUCAGGGAACGUGUCGGCUUCUUGGGGGAUGGUGAUAGUCACUGCAGGUUUGAGAGGAGAGAUUAGAGCGUUUCAGAACUUUGGUUUGCCCAUAAGGAUUUGAUAUUAUAAAGAAAAAAAAAAGAUAAAAAAGUGUACAGAGUGGUAAAGAAAAAAAAAAUCGAGUGAGGUUUGUAAUAUUACUUAGCGAGCUUUUUUUUUCUUCAUUCGAUUUUUUUUUAAAACUGAUUUGUUACACACAGGGUAUACUGAUCUUUUGUAGAGUUUACAGACACGAACAGCUGGUUUUUUUUUGUAGUCAGACCUCAGGCCCAUUAAAAAGUUAGGCCCAUAUUGUAUUAACGAAACGUUGUCGUUUUGGUGAUCGUGAAGUGAGUUAAAGGCAGCUUUGUCUUUUAGGUUUUGACUUGUCCUAAAACCCUAGAAAGAGUUUAGCGCUGUUUCUGUUUUAGAGAAAAAAGAAUGGGGAGGAAGAGAAAGCACAGCGAGGCGGAAGCGGCGGCUCCGGUUAAGGACGAUUCUGCUCCGGAGAGACCUAAAAGAACUCUGUUAGGUUGGAAAGAUAAGAAAGAAGAUGUGGAGGAAGCUAAGGAAGCGUCUGCUCCGUCUGCGCCUGGUUUCAGGAAUAAAGAGAAGGUUCUCGUUACUUGUUCCCGUCGG